GAGGGUACAGCUCGGUGGCAGAGCAUAUGCUCAGCAUGCAUGAGGUCCUGGGUUCAAUCCCCAGUACCUCCA
RNAcentral lists this transfer RNA (72 nucleotides) under Camelus ferus (Wild Bactrian camel). It matches the Rfam family "tRNA". Rfam says of the family: Transfer RNA (tRNA) molecules are approximately 80 nucleotides in length. Their secondary structure includes four short double-helical elements and three loops (D, anti-codon, and T loops). The record is from Rfam by way of RNAcentral. Lineage: Eukaryota; Metazoa; Chordata; Mammalia; Artiodactyla; Camelidae.